This 74-nucleotide transfer RNA is filed under the name bacterium. RNAcentral describes it as "tRNA-Arg". It matches the Rfam family "tRNA". Rfam says of the family: Transfer RNA (tRNA) molecules are approximately 80 nucleotides in length. Their secondary structure includes four short double-helical elements and three loops (D, anti-codon, and T loops). Further hydrogen bonds mediate the characteristic L-shaped molecular structure. tRNAs have two regions of fundamental functional importance: the anti-codon, which is responsible for specific mRNA codon recognition, and the 3' end, to which the tRNAs corresponding amino acid is attached (by aminoacyl-tRNA synthetases). tRNAs cope with the degeneracy of the genetic code in two manners: having more than one tRNA (with a specific anti-codon) for a particular amino acid; and 'wobble' base-pairing, i.e. permitting non-standard base-pairing at the 3rd anti-codon position. RNAcentral also lists the same sequence under 2 other names. The record is from RNAcentral.
GGCCAUGUGGCGCAACUGAAUAGCGCACUUGAUUACGGCUCAAGAGGUUACAAGUUUGAAUCUUGUCAUGGUCA